Molecule: long non-coding RNA, 192 nt
Organism: Etheostoma cragini (Arkansas darter)
Lineage: Eukaryota; Metazoa; Chordata; Actinopteri; Perciformes; Percidae
Exons: 3
Source: RefSeq, a predicted model, not a curated record
UUUUAAAUGCCAGGAAUAAUAUCCUGUCUCCUUCGUAUAGCCCCAGUUGGGUCUGUGCUGAACACUGCUCUCUGGGCAUCAGGUCAUCUGGCUCCAUCACUGUAAUUAUGGCACCCUGUUUUCCUGUGCGAUGUUGUGCAGAACCCCACAGGCUAAAACUAUGUUGCAGACUUUUUCUGGCGUUUAUAGUAG